GGAGCAGUCCAGGUAGUCGCCCAUGGAACCGAUGUUGCAUGGGAGGAAAGUCCGAGCUCCACAGGGCAAGGCGCUCCGUAACGCGGAGUCCCGGAAACGGGAAGGAAAGUGCCACAGAAAGGGAAACCACCCCGUCACAGGGGAAAGGGUGAAAAGGUGAGGUAAGAGCUCACCAGUGCCCCGGGCGACCGGGCAGCUUGGUAAACCCCGCCUGGAGCAAGGCCAAAUAGGUUCUGUGUUGAGGGGUGCCCCCUCGAAUCCCGGCUGCGGCCGGGAGACAGAACGGGUUAGGCCGCACGAUCCCGGCCGCAAGGCCGGGGCUGAGAUGAAUGACUACAAUUCCGAUCUUCGGAAUUACAGAACUCGGCUUACGGACUGCUUCGGCA
RNAcentral lists this RNase P RNA (386 nucleotides) under Nitrospirota bacterium. RNAcentral describes it as "Nitrospirae bacterium (bioreactor metagenome) RNase P RNA component class A". It matches the Rfam family "Bacterial RNase P class A". Rfam says of the family: Ribonuclease P (RNase P) is a ubiquitous endoribonuclease, found in archaea, bacteria and eukarya as well as chloroplasts and mitochondria. The record is from RNAcentral. Lineage: Bacteria; Pseudomonadati; Nitrospirota.